GGAUUGCCCUAGUAACGGCGAGUGAAGCGGCAACAGCUCAAAUUUGAAAUCUGGCUUCGGCCCGAGUUGUAAUUUGUAGAGGAUGCUUUGGGCGCGGCGCCAACUGAGUUCCCUGGAACGGGACGCCACAGAGGGUGAGAGCCCCGUAUAGUUGGAUGCCUAGCCUAUGUAAAGCUCCUUCGACGAGUCGAGUAGUUUGGGAAUGCUGCUCAAAAUGGGAGGUAAAUUUCUUCUAAAGCUAAAUACCGGCCAGAGACCGAUAGCGCACAAGUAGAGUGAUCGAAAGAUGAAAAGCACUUUGAAAAGAGGGUUAAAUAGCACGUGAAAUUGUUGAAAGGGAAGCGCUUGUGACCAGACUUGCGCCGGGCAGAUCAUCCGGUGUUCUCACCGGUGCACUCUGCCCGGCUCAGGCCAGCAUCGGUUCUCGUGGGGGGAUAAAGGUCUCGGGAACGUAGCUCUUCCGGGAGUGUUAUAGCCCGGGGCGUAAUGCCCUCGCGGGGACCGAGGUUCGCGCAUCUGCAAGGAUGCUGGCGUAAUGGUCAUCAGCGACCC
RNAcentral lists this ribosomal RNA (552 nucleotides) under Chaetomium sp. RNAcentral describes it as "LSU rRNA". It matches the Rfam family "Eukaryotic large subunit ribosomal RNA", at positions 72 to 650 of the family's 3401-position model. The record is from RNAcentral. Lineage: Eukaryota; Fungi; Ascomycota; Sordariomycetes; Sordariales; Chaetomiaceae.